GCCCUCGCCCAGAGUCUUCCCGGGAUUGGCUGCGGGCCCCGCGACUCUCCUGCUUCCCUCCCCGCCCCGCCCCGCCCCGCCCCGCCUCUCUAGUUUGUGCGCCCGGCGCAGGUCGCAGGCCUCUUUGUCAGCUGGAGUUGCAAGGGCUGACGCGCCACUACUUUGUAGCGGGUUUCGGGCGGGCCACGUGUGCGACGACAGGAACCCAACCCCAGCCGACCUUGAGCUCCAGGAGUUCGUCUCUUACGUCUGCGGAAGUGCAGCUGCCUCAGUUCUUAGCGCAGGUUGACAACUACAGGUACAAGCCAUUGAAGCUGGAAUGUCCUGUUGCUGGUAUUUCAAUUGACUUAAGCCAACUAUCCCUUCAGUUACAAUAGGAAAGUGCCUCUAAUAAGGCCAAAUAUGCGUACUAACUUGUAGCAACCACGUGUCCGUGCAGUGCCACAGGAGCUAGAGCAGUGACAAUGCUGGUGGCAACAGGGCAGUGUAGCAGGUGCUUCAUGUUCACCUUUUCAACCUUUUCAUUUAAUUGUCACAACUUGGAGGUGGAUUCUGUUAGGGACAGGCUGCCCCAGGACCACCCCACCCCCGCCAAUUCAAUGCAGCUGACCCUUACCCUGAAUACUCUGCAGCUGCAUUCCUGAACCGUUAUCUAGGCGCCAUAGCAAGGUCACCAGACUUGCUACACUGAAGCCCUCCGGGUGGCAGGGGGGAGGUCAUGAGAAACGUGGAUAAACCUAAGUUACACCCCCUUGUAAAUUACUAUUUUCACAAGAUAAUAUAUUGUAAGCCGGUCAUGAGAUUAUAUGUGGUAAAGCUAGUUGACUAACAACCCCAGGGUCUCUCUCCCCCAUAUAAACCCCUCAUUUUGUAAGCUCAGGGCUGCCACCUCUGACUGGUGGAGAAGCCCGGCAGGUUAAUAAACUUACUUGGCCUGACCUUGGGUCUCUCAUCUUUUCUCUCAGCUAACCUUACAGAUUCUAUUCUCCCAUUUCACAGGUAAAGAAAUAGAUUAGGGAUAACUUAGGUUUCAUCACCUGUGAGUAUCUCUGAAUGAGAGGCUUCACAUGUAUAACUUUUCGGCAAUGUGACUUCUGGAAAGUCACUUGUCUCUUGAGAUUUGGUAUCCUGGUGUAACAGUUAAGAAUUAUUUUAAACUAGGAAGGGACCACAGUCGAACUGUUAAGAAUAUAAACUCUUUGUAUUAUUUCAUUGCAUUGAGCCUAAGAAGAUUCACAAAAUUUGGCACAAAAGGAGUAUCUGUCAGCAUAUUCUGGUUUUUUUGUGUGUCUAUGUAGCAAGUAUUAAUAUUUAUCUUGGAGUCAUUCUUAAUUCAUAGCAUUGUUCUUACCUUUUUAUCUAAACUUUUAUGUUCCAUAUUGUAAAGUCUAGUCGCAUAAAUUUAGGUAAUUGCUCAUAAGUGCAUAAUGUUGAAUUGUAAUCCCGAUGUUAGAGGAGGGGCCUGGUGGGAGGUGAUUGGAUGAAAAGGGUGGAUUUCCCUCUUGCUGUUCCUUGUGAUAGUGAGUUCUCAUGAAAUCUGGUUGUUUAGAUGUGUAGUGUGGCUGGGGCAGUGGCUCAUGCCUGUAAUCCCAGCACUUGGGAAGGCCAAGGUUGGGGGAUCACUUGAGAUCAGGAGUUAAGACUAUCUUGGGCAACACAGUAAGACCUCGUCUCUACAAAAAAUGAGGCAGAAGGAUUGCUUGAGCCCAAGAGGUUGAGACUGCAGUGAGCCAUGAUCUUGUAACUGUGCUCCAGCCUAAAAAGAAAAAUUAAUAAAAAUAAAGGUUAUGCAAUUGUGCACGUUAUCUCAAGGCAGAGGCAGAAGAAUGGCAGAGUUUAGUUUAAAAGUGUGGCACCUCCCCUUCCUCCUACUCUGGCCAUGUGCUUCCUGUUAGACAUACCCCACGACUGUAAGUUUCCUGAAGCCUCAGCAGCCAUGCUCCCUGUGCAGCCUGCUGAACCAUGAGACAAACCUUUUCUUUAUAAAUUACCCAGUCUCAGUUCUUUAUAGCAAUGUGAGAACAGACUAGUACAAAAAAUAAAUUCAACUAAUGUGUUAGCUGGCUAUAAUUGCUAAGGGGGUAAGGAAAGGGAGAUGACUUAACAUGGCCGGCAAGGGAGGCCUCACUCAACAUGGAAGAGCUGAGGGAGAUGCCAUGUCCUUAUAUAUAGUUGAGGGAAGAGCAUUCUAGGCGGAGGGAAAACUUGUGCAAAGGCCCUGAGGAUAGUUGUGUUUAAAGGUUUGGAGAAGCAGUGAAGCUGUAGAGAAAUGACCUUAAGGAGGGGAGGACUUAAUGUCUGUAUGUAGUAGUGGAGAGUUGGUUAUUUUCAAACUAUUGUAAAAUGGCAACGUGCUCUGGCCUUCAGGGCUCUGAAUGUUUUAAUUUAACUGGAAUGCUUUCUAUGGCCUUAUACUUUACUGCUCUUAACCUAACUUUUCUCUGACCACCAUCCCUUCUGUGUGCUCUGACCACCAUCCCUUCUAUGUGCUCUUGAUUUUCUUCAGCACCCUGUAAUGGCCCUGUAGCAUCAGAACUACGUUGGCGCAUCGCGUGUGAACUUACCUAACUGCCUCUGCUUCUUUCCAUUCUGUAAAGUCCACCUUAGUUCCCACCAUAUUACAGAGGGUCUAGUCAGGUGCUUGACCUUUUCUAGGUAAGUGGCUUACAGUCCCCUUCUAAGGGCAGCAUAAUGUUGAGCCUAGGUUCAAAUCUCUAUGUGUGAUCUUAAACUACUUAGUGUUAGGUUCUAUUAACAAGUAAUUAAAAUGAGUUAUAUGUGGUACAUCAGACUACUUGGUAAGUAGUCAGCAAAUGAUAUAUUAGUUGGUAGUACUAUUUAAUCAUUUUUAUAACACCGUAUAGUCAUAAUGUUAGAACAAAAUGACAAUACUGAUACUUAGUAUUGUGCAUGUUUCAGCAGCACAUCUACUAAAAUUGGAACUGAUACUUAGUAUUUACAUAAUACUGGAAUAGCUCUAAUGUUCUUUUAAUGGCGCAUUUAACUAUGGGCCAAGUACUAUUCUAGGUAUCAUGAGAAUCAGUGAGCAAGUACACAAAAAUCAGUGGAUAUGGUUGGUUUUGAUCACAUAACUCAUUGGCCACAUUUCAGAUAUUCAAUAGCUGCAUGUGGCUAGGGGCAGCACAGACAUAGAACAUCAACAUACAGAAAACAACCCCAGAGCCUUAAAAGGCCCUAGCAAGUUCUGUCAGAACAAUGGUCCAGUGAAGGUGGGCCAAGAGAAUGGCAAGGUUUUCUAGGUACUGUCAAGAUGAAAGGUGUAAAAACUGUGUUAAAAGUCUGAAGGCUCUAGCAAAUAGUUGUCAAGAAUAACCACUGGUUUCACAAAGCACUCCACGGAGUCCUGGUGGUGGUCCUUUGCCCCUUGAGUUACUUGGGCAGAGGCUCUGUAACACGUCCAUGGCUCAACAGCCACAUGUGGCUAGGGGCAGCACAGAUAGAAAACAUUUCCAUUACUGCAGGGUUUUAUUAGCAGUACUCUUGUAGACAUUGCAUGAAUCAACAAACUUUUCAGAAGAGAAAACCUGUGAGAACCUGGAAAGACAGUGUAGUCUGAAUGACCGCCUCCAGAGAUAAUCAGGCCUAAUCUCUGGAACCUGUAAAUGUUACCUUGUUUGCAGAUAUUAUAAUUAGAUUAAGGAUCUCAGGAUGGGGAGAUUACCUUGGAUAAUCCUAGUGGGCCCUAAAUGCGAUCACAAGUCCCCUCAUGAGAGGGAGCCUGAGGGAGAUCCACACAGCAGAUUGGAAGAUGCUGGCCUUGAAGAUCGGAGUGAGGCAGCCCCCAGGAGCUGGGAGAUGCCAAGGAACACAUUCCCCAUCAGAGCCUCCUGAGGAGCAUCAUUUGAUUUGGCUCAGUGAAACUGAUUUCUGACUUCUGGCCUUCAGAACUGAGAAUAAAUUGCUGUUUUAAGCCACCAAGUUGUAAUUUGUUACAGCAGCCUCUAAGAUCACAAAUACAGCUGGGGCAAGAACCCCACCACCUCA
This is a long non-coding RNA of Pongo pygmaeus (Bornean orangutan), 4005 nucleotides long. RefSeq lists it as uncharacterized. The record is from RefSeq and is a predicted model, not a curated record. The transcript is spliced from 3 exons. Lineage: Eukaryota; Metazoa; Chordata; Mammalia; Primates; Hominidae.